This 435-nucleotide ribosomal RNA is filed under the name uncultured bacterium. Its description in RNAcentral is "bacterial SSU rRNA". It matches the Rfam family "Bacterial small subunit ribosomal RNA", at positions 28 to 456 of the family's 1533-position model. The record is from RNAcentral.
GAUGAACGCUGGCGGCGUGCUUAACACAUGCAAGUCGAACGAGAGAAGAUUGGUGCUUGCACUGAUCCGAUCGAGUGGCGGACGGGUGAGUAACGCGUGGGUAACCUGCCUCAUACAGGGGAAUAACAGUUGGAAACGGCUGCUAAAACCGCAUAAGCGCACAGUAUCGCAUGAUACAGUGUGAAAAACUCCGGUGGUAUGAGAUGGACCCGCGUCUGAUUAGCUAGUUGGUGAGGUAACGGCCCACCAAGGCAACGAUCAGUAGCCGGCCUGAGAGGGUGAACGGCCACAUUGGGACUGAGACACGGCCCAAACUCCUACGGGAGGCAGCAGUGGGGAAUAUUGCACAAUGGGGGAAACCCUGAUGCAGCGACGCCGCGUGAGUGAUGAAGUAUUUCGGUAUGUAAAGCUCUAUCAGCAGGGAAGAUAAUGACG